Molecule: ribosomal RNA, 187 nt
Filed under: uncultured bacterium
Lineage: Bacteria
Description: partial 16S ribosomal RNA
Rfam family: Bacterial small subunit ribosomal RNA
Source: RNAcentral
ACAUGAAGCUGGAAUCGCUAGUAAUCGCGAAUCAGAAUGUCGCGGUGAAUACGUUCCCGGGCCUUGUACACACCGCCCGUCACACCAUGGAAGUCUGCAAUGCCCGAAGCCGGUGGCCUAACCACUUAUGUGGAAGGAGCCGUCUAAGGCAGGGCAGAUGACUGGGGUGAAGUCGUAACAAGGUAAC